UAGGGAAUCUUCCGCAAUGGGCGAAAGCUUGACGGAGCAACGCCGCGUGAGUGAUGAAGGUCUUCGGAUCGUAAAACUCUGUUAUUAGGGAAGAACAAAUGUGUAAGUAACUAUGCACGUCUUGACGGUACCUAAUCAGAAAGCCACGGCUAACUACGUGCCAGCAGCCGCGGUAAUACGUAGGUGGCAAGCGUUAUCCGGAAUUAUUGGGCGUAAAGCGCGCGUAGGCGGUUUUUUAAGUCUGAUGUGAAAGCCCACGGCUCAACCGUGGAGGGUCAUUGGAAACUGGAAAACUUGAGAGCAGAAAAGGAAAGUGAAAUACCAUGUGUAGCGGUUGAAUGCGCAUAGAUAUGGAGGAAAACCAGUGGCGAAGGCGACGUUCUGGUCUGAAACUGACGCUGAUGAGCGAAAGCAAGGGGAUCAAACAGG
RNAcentral lists this ribosomal RNA (429 nucleotides) under Actinomycetes bacterium. Its description in RNAcentral is "Actinobacteria bacterium partial 16S ribosomal RNA". It matches the Rfam family "Bacterial small subunit ribosomal RNA", at positions 355 to 776 of the family's 1533-position model. Lineage: Bacteria; Bacillati; Actinomycetota; Actinomycetes. The record is from RNAcentral.